UAAUGCUUUAAACUCCAUUGCAGGUAUCCGAGAAAAAGGCUCGGGCAUGGUGUGCCUCAAAAGGGAAUAUCCCAUACUUUGAGACUUCUGCCAAGGAAGGCACCAAUGUUGAAGAAGCAUUCCAGGUCAUUGCAAAGAAUGCCCUGAAGAGCGGUGAAGAAGAAGAAAUAUACUUGCCUGACACAAUUGACGUUGGAAGCAGUAAUCAGCAAAGACCAACUGGAUGCGAGUGCUAAACAGAGUUCAGGAUUCAACAAUCUCAAUCUUUCUCUCUUAUUUUCUGUUUAUUCUGAGACUACAUCUGUAUUAUACAAAUGUUUUCACAGGGGAGUGAACGAUACCCCCCGCAAGUCGAACCUGGUUGUUUUGUGACUGCUAACGUAUGUACUGCUUUGAUUUGAUGGAGUUUUACGAGUUUGGUUGCUUUGUUGAGAAUUGAUGUAUAAACUAGUGUUUGCAAACAUCCUUGCUGGCAAUAUCUUACUCUUUCUGCUCCAUUUGUGUGUGUAUAAACUCACGCAUCGUACAGUUAAA
Olea europaea var. sylvestris is the source of this 534-nucleotide long non-coding RNA. RefSeq lists it as uncharacterized. The record is from RefSeq and is a predicted model, not a curated record. Lineage: Eukaryota; Viridiplantae; Streptophyta; Magnoliopsida; Lamiales; Oleaceae. The transcript has 2 exons.